RNAcentral lists this long non-coding RNA (1466 nucleotides) under Canis lupus dingo (dingo). RNAcentral describes it as "lncRNA (ENSCAFG00020020473.1)". The record is from RNAcentral. Lineage: Eukaryota; Metazoa; Chordata; Mammalia; Carnivora; Canidae.
AUGGGCAGGCCUCGCCAGCGCCGUGGUGCCGUUCCUGGCAAAGGAGCCAGCCUAGGUGGACGUUCAGGUGGACGCACAGGCAGCUCCGAGGCCAGGACGCUGUCCUGGCCGCCUCGGGCCCGUCUCCUGGGCGGACCCCCGGAGAGUUGCCACCUGCCCGUGAGGCCGCUGAGCAGGCCCCGUCUUGCUGGUGGUGGCCCCGGCGCCGCGAGCCAGGCUGGGAGCUGGAGCCUCCUCCUGCCACAGCACCGGGGGGCUCAGUGGGGUGGAGAACCUACUCUCCCCGGCUCAGACCCCUGGGCUCCCUGGUGGGAGACAGGCAAGUGGUGUAUGUCCUUCAUGCGGCGAGUGCGAAAUAUCAGCUCUCCCCUUCCUCCCUGCAGCUGGACGCCCGUGACGCCUCAUGACCCCCCACAUGCCAGGCCAAGACUCCACCUGGAGACAAGUCUACAGCCGAGCAGCCUGCCGGUGCCCGAGCCUCGCCCAGGCCUGGACCCCCGGCUUCUCCCGGGAGAGCCCCGCAGGCCGUGGAUGGUGCGAGGCGCCCCCCGCGAAGCCCUCGCUGCCUUCCGCCUGCGCCAGCUCUGCCCUCUGCUUUCUUUCCCUUGCCCGGCGGCUCCGCAGCUCUGGGCCCCAAGGGUGCCUCCUCCGCUCUGCGUUGGCCUCAUCUGACCUCGCGUCAGGUUACGACGUGUGUGCACAGGUGAACCAAGCACAUGAUUUGGGGUUUUCGUUGGGGUGUGCUGCGUGAUAACCUGUCUGUCGCUAACAGCAGGGACGGCGCGUGUGGUUGCGAAAUACUGUCAUCCAUUUGCACCCAAAUCUGGGGACUCAUUGACCCCUUUCCACUUCUUUCAGUUAAAAUUGCAUUAAAGCAUUGAAAAAAUCUAAUUACCUUAAUGAACAAUAGGAAACAUGAAAGAAGAGGGAAAACCCAGAAACACAAGGGCCGCUGGCGGGUUUCUUCCUAGGAGGAGGGGGCGGGGCGGGCUGGCCCCCGGCGCCCAACGAACGGCCCAGCCGCUUGCCCGAGCCGAGCCCCCGGAAGUGCUCCCUGUGUCCGUUAGGGGUUAGGCACCUUCUGCUUAGUGUUAUUUUAUUUCCUUAACUAAAAGCAGCACAUGCGCAUGGAGCACAGGAGCCCCGAGAGCCGGUAGCCAGCCCCCCCGGGGUCGACUGCUGUUAAGGGCUCCUCGGCACCUGCUGGCCCGUCCUGCGCCCCCGGCCCUGCUGUCUACUGCUGAGGAUUGACCCGGUUCAUCCACGUGUCCACACGAGGGCCACUCACAUUUCACCUUAAAAGCAACUACUUCAGGGUGCUUCCCGGACGAAUCCAAGCUACUGUGAAGAAUUUUGUCGCGCAAUCAAAAGAAAGUGGACUGUGAUCCUGCUGUGAACUGGGACCCUGAUAAAACAUCACGUCCCAACCGCUCCUCACAGCGCUGACGCUGGGUCUGCCCUAGACC